GAGAUGUAAAUCUGCUCCUUUGGGAAAGUGGGUUGAGGAAUAGUUAACGGAGUUUAAUGCAGAUAAGGGUCAGGUGUUGCAUUUUGAGAAAUCAAACAGGGUAGAAC
Amblyraja radiata (thorny skate) is the source of this 107-nucleotide long non-coding RNA. RefSeq lists it as uncharacterized. The transcript is spliced from 3 exons. Lineage: Eukaryota; Metazoa; Chordata; Chondrichthyes; Rajiformes; Rajidae. The record is from RefSeq and is a predicted model, not a curated record.